UAGGUAUGAUAACCUAUGCGUUCCUUG
Molecule: small RNA, 27 nt
Filed under: Bombyx mori (domestic silkworm)
Lineage: Eukaryota; Metazoa; Arthropoda; Insecta; Lepidoptera; Bombycidae
Description: ovarian small RNA-22746
Source: RNAcentral